UGGGGAAUAUUGGGCAAUGGGGGCAACCCUGACCCAGCAACGCCGCGUGAAGGAAGAAGGCUUUCGGGUUGUAAACUUCUUUGACCAGGGACGAAAAGAAUGACGGUACCUGGAAAACAAGCCACGGCUAACUACGUGCCAGCAGCCGCGGUAAUACGUAGGUGGCAAGCGUUGUCCGGAUUUACUGGGUGUAAAGGGCGCGUAGGCGGGAUAGCAAGUCAGGAGUGAAAUCUAUGGGCUUAACCCAUAAACUGCUUUUGAAACUGUUAUUCUUGAGUAUCGGAGAGGCAGGCGGAAUUCCUAGUGUAGCGGUGAAAUGCGUAGAUAUUAGGAGGAACACCAGUGGCGAAGGCGGCCUGCUGGACGACAACUGACGCUGAGGCGCGAAAGCGUGGGGAGCAAACAGG
Molecule: ribosomal RNA, 407 nt
Filed under: uncultured bacterium
Lineage: Bacteria
Description: bacterial SSU rRNA
Rfam family: Bacterial small subunit ribosomal RNA
Source: RNAcentral